GGUUCGAUGGCGUAGUUGGUUAUCGCAUCUGUCUAACACCUACCACCUCGAUGGUACACAGAAGGUCCCCGGUUCGAGCCCGGGUCGAAUCA
This 92-nucleotide transfer RNA is filed under the name Lentinula edodes (shiitake mushroom). RNAcentral's name for it is "tRNA-Val". The record is from RNAcentral. Lineage: Eukaryota; Fungi; Basidiomycota; Agaricomycetes; Agaricales; Omphalotaceae.